UCAUUUCUAGCCUUGAUUUGAUGAUUCAUUCUCAUCUUCUUUGGGUUUAGAAAUGGUUGAAUUAGAAAAUGAUUCUGUUGAAAUGGAUUCAACACCCAAAUAUCUAGAUUGUUCUGUUCAAAUGUUUGGAUCUUCUGGUAAUGGUUACUUAGGGUUUUAUUAUCAUUGUUGUGAUAUGAGGUUAAUUAGUUUUUGGAACCCUUCCACUAAAGAAUACAAAAAACUUACAAAUCAUCUCAAAUACGCUCUUGGGUAUUGGAAUCCUGGUAGUACAUGGAGGUUAUCAUACAUGGAGAAGUCUUGAUGGUGUCCGGCAGUACGAUUUUGGAGUAAUCCUAGUUGCAAUAUCUUGUUUUGAGUUAAAUUUGGAAUCAAUGUUUAGAAUAUACACAGAGAUUAUCUUUAGAAGAAAGAUAGUUUGGAUUGUGCUGUCUAAGGAUAUCCAAAAACGUAUGUUGUCAAAGGAGACUGCAGAGGCGCCCAAGGUGCAUGAAUCUUAAUGUGACCACCUCGCUAAUAAUGCGCCCAAGGCGUCUAAUGCGCAGUAGAUGAGUGUAUUCAGCGCUUGUUUGCACCAUCAAUCAUGGUAUUGGUAUCAUUUCAGUGCUUGUUUGCAGCAUCAAUCAUGGUAUUGGUAUCAUUUCAGUGCUUGUUUGCAGCAUCAAUCAUGGUAUUGGUAUCAUUUCAGUGCUUGUUUGCAGCAUCGAUCAUGGCAUUGGUAUCAUUUCAGUGCUUGUUUGCAGCAGCGAUCAUGGCAUUGACAUCAUCAGGGCAUUCAUUCGACAAACUGUAGCCUUCUUUUCUCACCUUAAUAAUGCACUCAAAGCGCCUAAUGCAUAGUAGAUGAGUAAAUUCAGUACUUAUUUGUAGCAUCGAUCAUGUCAUUAAUAUCAUCAGGGCAUUCAUUCCACAAACUCUAUCCUUCUUUUCUCGCCUCAAUAAUGCGCUCAAGGUGCCUAACUCAUAGUAGAUGAGUAAGUUCAGUGCUUCUUUGCAGCAUCAAUCAUGGCAUUGAUAUCAUCAGGGCAUUCAUUCGACAAACUGUAGCCUUCUUUUCUCACCUCAAUAAUGCGCUUAAGGCGCCUAAUGCAUAGUAGAUGAGUAAAUUCAGUACUUAUUUGCAGCAUCCAUAUCAUUGAUAUCAUCGAGACAUUCAUUCGACAAACUGUAGCCUUCUUUUCUCACCUAAAGAAACAAGAUUUAUCAUCUACCGUCGUCACACACUCUUUAUAUUCUGUCCUGGUGGUACAUGAGGCGCCUGGCUUGGUUCCUCACCCGCCUCGUUCCUCACCCGCCUCGUUCCUCAUUCAACAUAGCCCAAAACCAGAUUGGAAAGAGACUGUGAUUUGUUUGUUUUAGAGAAUUGGCAUUCUACUGCCGCAUUCUGAUCUAGGUAGUGAAAACAACUUCUUUUUUAAGGUAAACGAAUAAGAAAGAAGUUAUUUUCAUUAAGAGAUGAGAAUGCGUGUGUGGGAUAAUGGAAGUUGGUAAGACAAUUGGAUGUGACUGUUUUAAUUUGGAAGAAGCUUGGAUGCUGGUUCAGCAAAAGGUCCAACUAGAAGUUCUAAGUUGACAUCCAGAUGUAUCCGAGGUUGCCUUAUAAAUUAUAUAAAAGAACGUCACUUCGAGCUCUCAUCAAUAUUGGUGGAACUGCUGGUACCACAAAGUCUCUGAAAGUGGCGACACGGAGUUUGUUACAGGUCAACUAUUGGAAUAUUUUUAUGCUCGAAAUGCCACGUUCAGGUCUUAUCAGUCACCUUAGAUGAUUGGUCUGAUGAAGAAAUUGAGUCCAUGAUUAAGGUUGGUGGAAAAUUUUCUGCUAAUUCAAUCUACGAGGCUUCUAUACCUGAUGGAAUCUCAAAGCAGAUUCAAGUCAUGAACGAUGUUCCAAGUUUAUCAGAUAAUAACCGUUCACUACCAGAUAAAGGCAGCUACGUAGAGAAAAUAUACCAACAGCUAGAUUCACAACCUGAUAACAGUGGUAGUGGCGGUGGUGGUGGAGCUAUGUCUCAAAAAUUGACUGUAAUUAGGCAGACUUAUUGUUUGAAAAGUUGAAGCUUCGCUGGGAUUUUGUUUGGUUUUUUUUAGAAGAGUUAAAUUUGAUGAAAGGUUGUAGCUCUUUUGAUUUGAUCUGUUAUUCGUUGAUGGGAGUCUGAUUACGUGAUAUUGGGGAUGGAUUUUAUUAAGUUGUGAGGCAGAGUCAAUGUAUAUGUGUAGGUUUACCCCUUACUCAGUUAAGGGCAUAUUGGUCUUUUUUUGUAUCCAUUUAAAAUUGCAGUUGGCACUCAACUCUUGUAAAGAAUUUAAGGAUUUUCUUGCCACAUAUAUUUAGAAGGCUGUUAUCGGGGCUCACACUCC
Long non-coding RNA from Papaver somniferum (opium poppy), 2358 nucleotides. RefSeq lists it as uncharacterized. NCBI's taxonomy places the organism in Eukaryota, Viridiplantae, Streptophyta, Magnoliopsida, Ranunculales, Papaveraceae. The record is from RefSeq and is a predicted model, not a curated record. The transcript has 4 exons.